GUUAGCGGCGGACGGGUGAGUAACACGUGGGUAACCUGCCUGUAAGACUGGGAUAACUCCGGGAAACCGGAGCUAAUACCGGAUAGUUCCUUGAACCGCAUGGUUCAAGGAUGAAAGACGGUUUCGGCUGUCACUUACAGAUGGACCCGCGGCGCAUUAGCUAGUUGGUGGGGUAAUGGCUCACCAAGGCGACGAUGCGUAGCCGACCUGAGAGGGUGAUCGGCCACACUGGGACUGAGACACGGCCCAGACUCCUACGGGAGGCAGCAGUAGGGAAUCUUCCGCAAUGGACGAAAGUCUGACGGAGCAACGCCGCGUGAGUGAUGAAGGUUUUCGGAUCGUAAAGCUCUGUUGUUAGGGAAGAACAAGUGCGAGAGUAACUGCUCGCACCUUGACGGUACCUAACCAGAAAGCCACGGCUAACUACGUGCCAGCAGCCGCGGUAAUACGUAGGUGGCAAGCGUUGUCCGGAAUUAUUGGGCGUAAAGGGCUCGCAGGCGGUUUCUUAAGUCUGAUGUGAAAGCCCCCGGCUCAACCGGGGAGGGUCAUUGGAAACUGGGAAACUUGAGUGCAGAAGA
Molecule: ribosomal RNA, 578 nt
Filed under: Bacillus pumilus
Lineage: Bacteria; Bacillati; Bacillota; Bacilli; Caryophanales; Bacillaceae
Description: bacterial SSU rRNA
Rfam family: Bacterial small subunit ribosomal RNA
Source: RNAcentral